CCAUCUGGAUGGAUGAUCUGAAGGUAAGCUAUAUCUCUUAACAAGAGAUAAGCAUAUAUACCUUGAUUAAUGGUUUAUCACUCCCCUGCAAGCUGAGUGGUCUAGGAAGAACAGAAAGCUUGGAGACAAGAAAAUGAAACCGGGAAUUGAAGAGGAUAAUCCUUUCGUAAAAAUAUCAUCAGCUACGUACCUGAUCUGUAGUAGAGACAAAGGACAAGAUAGUCUUUUGGUGUUGCUAUAUUUGCUUUUAAUUAAGUUCUAUUUCAUCAUUUCAUGAGCAAAGCCAAACAAACUGAUAAUCAGAGUUCAAACAAACUGAUCGAUCAGCUUUUCUUGUUGGGUUGUAAGGUAUGAUGCACUUGAUAAAUUCUUGGUUCUUGCUUGGCUUUGUGGAAUUCUGCUAAAGUUUGUGUCUUUUUGGUUGGUUCUGGGUUUUGAUGGCUUUGGCGUUGAUAUGGCUUUAAAGGUCUUGUUUUUAUGAGCUUUUGGGGAAACCCAUGUGGGUUUUUAGUUGUUGUCCUAAUUACUGACUCACUGUUCUCGUUUUGAUGAUGGAGCUUAGUAUAGGAUUUUGGAUUAUUGUUCAAAAUGUUGAUGAUGAUUUGAAGAUAUGUGCUGAAUUUUCGUUUUUGAUGCAAAUAAGAUUAUGUCUCUGACUUGUGUUUGGCUGUGUACAUAAGAAGAAUCAGAGCAUUUUGAGUUUUCUUUUCUUCUUUUUUUUUCACAAGGAGUGAUGAAGUUGAUGAGUGCGUGUAUCUCAUAUCCCAAGUAAUAUUUGUUAUGGUAUGAAAUGGUGGACAUGCUAAUCCUCCUAGAGUUGUAUGAUUAAAGUUCAGCAAAUGAACUAAGUGCUUUACUAACCAGUAAAUAACAAGAUUACAUUGUCAUUCACAUUGCUUUAGUAUUGAUAGAACUGAGUACAUUGUCAUUCACAUUGCUUUAGUAUUGAUAGAACUUACAUUCUAACGUCAUUUUCUAUAACGAAAGCUAAAGGCCUAAAGCUAACCUUUCAAUCCACGUUGAUAGGAACUAUUGUGGUUUUUAGAUUGUUAAUUGAAUGCUGCAAUUUCCCCACUCCAUUAUCAAUUAGCAUGAAGCAGAUAGUUCAGCUUGUCAUGGUAGUUCCUGGAAUGGUAUGGUAGUAGAAACAGAUUGUUUGGAGGCUGUGAGGGUGGUAAAUGGAAGUGAUGAAUGUCUUGCAUGUGAGGGUGUCCCGGAGGAGCGAAUCAGGGAGAUUUUGGCCGCUUUGGAUAUUCACCAUAUUCAUCAUGCUCCAAGGGCGGCUAACAAGGCGGCUCAUACUGUUGCAGGAGUUGUAGCCCAGGGUAAUGGGAGGAGUAGUUGGUUAGGGGUUGGGCCUCUUUGGCUCAUGGAUGUCAUUGUUAAUGACGGACCCAUAACUGGUUCAAUUUCUAGGAAGGAGAGUGGGAAGUUCAUGUCCACCGCCGCUCAUUCCCAUGUUUUGUAAUAUUGAUAAUCUUUGGCGUUUUUGGCCUGCAAGAUGUUCUCAUUGCUUUAAUAUCAGAAGACGCCAAGGAGUGGUUUAUAAAGCUGAUCUGGUUGUCAUUGGAAUCUUUGUUGGUGUAGCCCAUGGAAUUUUGAUAGCUGCACUCAUAUUUUUCGGAAUAAAGAAUUGGCUUAGGCACAAGCAUCGACUUUAGUGUAUCUCUUUCAACUAGCAUACCUAUUCAAGGAUCUGAGAAGGUUCAAAAAAGUUUGGAACUCUCCUAGUGGAAUAAUCACAACAAAGAUGGAUUUCCUUCUGCAUCAGGUGUACUUAGAUACUCUUACAAGGAUGUACAGAAAGCUACACAGAACUUCACAACCAUUUGGGGACAAGGGGUUUUUGGUCCAGUCUAUAAAGCAACAAUGCCUGCUGGAAAGGUAGUAGGCUGAAGGUGCUUGCUUCAAAUUCCAAGCAGGGAGAGAGAGUUCCAGACAGAGGUAUCUCUGUUAGGAAGACUGCAUCAUUGAAAUCUAGUGAACCUCAUAGGUUACUGUGUAGAUAAAGGGCAGUGUAUGUUAAUCUAGGGAGGUUCUGCAGGUAUCACUACAAUGUUUUGGAUGUGAGAGUGGACCGGCACAUUGACAAAGGAAAGGAAGAUGGUUUGUAUAUUAGCUGUGUCGCCUCAUCUGCGAAUAUGUGGGCUAUAGUCAUGGAUGCAGGGACAGGUUUCACAUCCCAACUUUAUGAACUAUUCACCUGUUUACUUGCAGGAGGAGUGGAUAAUGGAACAGUGGGACAAGAACUACCAUAUCACUUCACUUGCUGGCGCAGGCAAUGGCAGUGCCCUGGUGGUAAUGUCCAAAUGUAUGUCAAACAAAUUAACAGAGCUUCAUGUUGUCCGUGGAAGUUUGGCUAUAGGAAUCUGGUCGGUCCUUGAUGAUAAUGACUUGGUCUUAUUUUUUUUUCUUCCAUAGGGAUCCGUGUAGUACAUUUUCUCUUGUUUGAGCUACUCUUUUUUAUUGCUAUUCUUCUAUUUGUCACCCAUUGAAGGCCUACCAUAUACUCAGCAGUUGUACAAAGUCAGUGAUGUAUUCCCUUUCAAAUGGAAUAAUAAGAAAUGGAAAGAAUUUUUCUCUGUUACCUCCAUGACUACUGCAGGUAGCAGAUGGGGCAUUGUCAUGUCCUGAAAUGCAGGUUAUUCUAAUCAGGUUGUUGAGAUUGAUUUCCCAUAUCCAAGCGAAGGCAUCCAUAAAAGAUGGGAGAAUGGAUAUCGCAUUUACCUCAACUGCUGCGACAGAGGAUUAAGUAAUUGAAAUUUGAACUUGACUAAGUAGUUGAACGUGAAACCUAAGAUGUGAAAUAAUUGAAAUUGGAACUCAAGCUUAAAGCUGUAAUUGUUCGUUCAACAACUCGUUUACAGUUAUUUUAGCAUUGAAAAUUGUUUUGCUUGUGAGAAUACAAAAUAAAAUGAAGGUUUCUGGUGCUUA
Long non-coding RNA from Rosa rugosa (rugosa rose), 2934 nucleotides. RefSeq lists it as uncharacterized. The record is from RefSeq and is a predicted model, not a curated record. The transcript is spliced from 7 exons. Lineage: Eukaryota; Viridiplantae; Streptophyta; Magnoliopsida; Rosales; Rosaceae.